GUUUCACCUUUAGUAAGAAAGGGAGCAAAAUAUGAAGGAAAUAUCAUGGCAUUUAUAGGUUAACAGAAUUAGGAUUUUGCUUUUUAGGUUGCUUUUUUUUUUUUUUUUUUUUUUUUUUUGAUUCUUUCUGUUGCUUGAGUCAGUGGCAUUUGGGGCUCAACAUAUGCUGGUUUAGCCUUGCAAGAGGCUAUGGAGUACCUGUGUUGAUCUUGGGAGGGGUACAGAGAGCUUGGCAGGGUUGCUGCAGUGGGAAUUAUAUCAUAUUUUGUAUUCAGGCAACCUACAGUGGCACUCCCAACAUUACUGUUCAUAGGCACACGCUCUGCUCUCCUGAUGCUCCGAGGGCAACGCAGGGCUGGAGGGGGGCAUUUUGCACAACUUCCUUAUGCCUUGGAAAAACUCUACAGGAAUACCUAUAUCAGUGAAGCCACAAAAAGGCAAACUGACGCAGUGGGGCUGUAAGUGUGCAGCAGAGGACGACCACAGUUCAAGGAGAGGCUGGGUUCUCAGAGCCAUGGUAUCUUCAGGUCUAAAGGAUCAAGAUUGAGCAGGAUUUGAUGGACUUCAGCCUCUGAUGAGGUGCUUAUGAGACUACAGAAUAGGGCCUAAAUUAGUAAUCAGGCACAAUGAGGAAUAAAGUCCUCGGAGAGAGAAGAAGAGGAAAUUUAACACUAGAAAAGGAUAAAGAACAGAAGAGAAAAUGAGAAAAGGUGAUGCAAUCUAAGAUCAAACAAAAUCUACGUGUUUCUCUUACUGCUGGUACUUCUCUUAUUUCACAGGCUUUGCUGAUCUCAUGUACUCCUCCACCAUAAAAAGCUGCUCGCAGUUACAGUGAUGUUUCUAGAAGAAGGAGAGAAUCAAACACAAAAGAUCUGCCUUGACUUUCACAGCUCUUCUAAUGCUUACAACUAAGCUUUAUUAUAUUAUUUAUUAUACACAAUGGAAAUAAUUAUUAUUACAGUCUUUCCUCUGUCAUGUGCUUUAUUACAUGACCUUGUUAUGGCCAAGGUUGCAAUCUGACAGUGUGCACUGCAUCGGUAGCGGUGACUGCUGGCAGGGAGUCCUUGGUUUGGGACUCUAAAACUGAUGGAUUAAACAGCAUUAAGGACAGUGAAGUGCUAAUACUGCGGUAAUGGACACUGUAAUAUUUCAAAAUAGCUCACAAGUAGAACCAAAACAAUCCAUUGGGCCACUCAAAUCAUGCAGGGUCUGGUUGGAAGCUCCUGGCCAUCUGACAGCUUUGGUGUAUUGCUGUAAGUCCAGAAGCACUUGCUACCUGUAGUCCAUAAUAAGUUGGUAACAAAGAGUGAUAACAGUAUGAAGUGGAAGAGAUAUUCAUCUUGGCGUAUUUCAAUCUAGAAGUGACAAUCCUGGAUUGAUUCAUUCUCUGAGGAAUAAACCUCCUCUUACAAAAAAAAAAAAAGAAAAGAAAAAACAAGUUUAAAGAAACCAGGAUUUAUCCUCAAGAUCACCACUCAUUUUCUUUUAGAAAUUACAUUCUAGACAAUAAGAGAUCACAGACCUGUAAAUUGCAUUUUAACUUUCAGGUAACAUACUAGGGCUAUAACAAAAUCUGAGGACUAUUAUCAUAGCAAAAUAACUGUAAUGCUUCAAGGCUGUAAUAACCAUCUCCUUUUUAUCAUCCAUACUACCAUCAGGCCAAGAAACAGUGAAUUUCUUUAACGUUAUUCUGCCAUAACCUUUAACUAUAUGCAUUAUUUCAAACACCUGGAAUAAUACUUUAUAUGGCACAACAGAAUAAUACAUUUGCCACUCACUGCACAGCAUAGUUGGCUAAACCCAAAUGAGUACAAAUGCUUAAAUCUGCUGUGCGUAUCGUAGAUAUACAUCUAUUCCUUCUACUGUGCUGUGGACUGACCUUUACGUGACAAGGAAGUUGAAGGAACAUUAGAAAGCAUAAGGUUUGUACUUAAAGUCAAUGAAGGCUCUUUCAGUUAUAUCAUCAUUAUAAAACUGUACUGCUUACCUGGUUUUGGGAGGGCUGUACUUGGCUAGCUCACACACACUUUAUGUGGAAUCUACAGCAUAAAUACUCUGUGGGUUCAUUGUAAAAAUAUGUUUGUGAUAUACCUUUCUGGUGUCCUUUGUGUUCUUUCGUGAAGUGUUUAUUCCUGUUAUAUCAAGUAGGUGCUAAUGCAUAAUACCAACACCAUACAUAGAGCAUCUUGAUAAAUAAUCAUGCAUAUGCUCCAGUGGUUUUCUACAUAAAUGCUCCUAUAUAUAAGUUACUACAGCCCAGGGCCCUGAAUGGAUCAAAUUUGUAAACACAUCACUAUAUUUCUUACCUCUAUUGAAGUGUAUUAUGAUAGCAGUGCUGGCAUUUAUCUAGACUGUUGAUAUAAAGGUUUCUACCCACACGAGCAAUGCAUAUUGCAUUAUGCAAUUCUGUAAUAAACUGCUUGAAAUAUUACCAGAGACAGAGCAUGCUGGAAAACAUUGAGUGAGCCCUGAGGUGGAAUGGUUCCUACUGAGUACAGAGCACUUUGGAUCAGGCCUUGGAGGAUACUACCUAUAAAAUAACACAUUUGAAGAACUUAAUUGUGAUUUCCUCAAUGUCACCCUGUCACUCUGAAAACCGGAUGCUUUAGUUCAAUGAAAGAUCUCAGCAGUGCAGUACAGCUUUUCGUCAAAGUUUAACUGCUUCAAAGAAUUUGGAAACUUCAUUUCUAUGAAGUCGGGCAUGGCCUUGAGUUGUACUAAAGGACUUCAUGUCACUGUGAGCACGUAAACACAGUGGCAAGGUUUUGGUUCUUCAGUUUGGUGGGAGCGGCUUUAUGCUUCUGUAGGAAACUUGUCCAAGAGAUCUUUGCUUCCAAAAUCUGCUUAGAGAAUCAGCCUCCACCACAGGGUGCCAGGAAGGACACCUGUGGUGUUCAGCCUGAAUGAAAAAUAACAGAGCUCCAAAGCUGUUAUAUUAUUGUUCCACAUCUCCUCUGCAGCAGCACACAGCUGGUGGUGACGCGGGAAUGAGGUCCCAGCAAAUCAAGGUUUAUUGGAAUAUUUUUCAACUGCACUAAGGAAAAGGGAUUUGGAUCUAAAGGGUACAGGCGUAGCACAAGGGGCAGCUACUCUCCUACUGGGCAAGCACAAAGUUAUUGGACCUCAGUCUAAUUUUUCUGUGAUUUCUUCUGUGACCUUUUACAAACUACACAGAGUCUGCCCAAGGAAAUCACAAAAUGAUUUCUAUUGGCUUCACUGGGUGAGAGAUUAAGGUUCUAAUUUCUCUUUGAAUCAGUGUUCUCAUUAGUAAAUUACUAGCCUCAAAGCUUAAUGUUUCCAACGCUCUUCAGUAUCCUUGAAGGGAAAUUGAUACUGGAAUGUUAACUGUCCUCAUUGCCAACAGCCAUAUAGCAUACAAAUCUAGAUUAAUAUGAGCAUUUCACUGGUGAUGACAGCACUGUAAAAUCCAUACCUAUGUUCCCACUAACCUAGAAGAACUAGACAAGAGUCAAAGAGAUUAAACGUAAUAGCUAAAGAGAAAGCUGAUUUCUCAGCAGGUGCCUUGUAUUUCCUGCAGGUUUUACUACAGUUUAAGACAGAUUUUCAUUUGCUGUCAUCAGAGCCUCUACUAAACCACGAAAUUCAUUCACAGAGUUAAUCAGCAAGUUCACUUCGCCUGGAUUUGAAAUUCCUGGAGCUGAACGUUCACUUUGUUACAGUACUUAAGGGCUUAUAAUGUCCAAACAGCAUUAUGAACUCCAAGCUCAAGGAACAGUAAAAGUUGUUCAUGCUAUCAGUGGUCAUCUUCUGUAUAAACACCUGAAAGGAAAAGGUGAAGAUUUCAGAGCACCCUUCAGUGGAGAAGAAACUAAAAGACUUAUGGGGAAGUUUCUGGUGAGCUGAGUAUUUCAAAGAAGGGCAAUUCGGAACAUUUUCCAGCACAAGAUCAUUAAAUCUGAGUGAUAUAGUGGGUUUCUUUUGUUAUCUUGGAUAUUAAUUAACAAUUAGCAGAUUGUGGAAAAUAUACGCCUAUAGUUUUUAGCCUUACUUAAGAUAAUAAUGGAAUUUAACCCAGUUAGACGUUCUAAAAGCAGCUUUUGUUAUACUGUUUUUUUUUUUGUCAUAUAAUGUUUGCAUCACAGCAAAGGUUUUAUAUUGUUUAAAUGUUAUGUGCUAGACUUACUAGAGUAUUCCAAGCUCUGUAGCUGUGGUUUUGGAUCAAAUGCUUAAAGGAGUGUCCUCAAAACCUCAAAGCAGAUGUCUUCAAACCCUGGAGUUACUGGCUGCUUUGUUGGCUGAGCAGAUGAUCCUGAAUCACAGCUGAUGAUGUUUCCCAGCUGUCAUUCCCGAAGGACCCAAUGUGAUGGAUGUUAUGGACCUCAUGCAGAACACAGUCCCUUGUGUCCUUCCCACCCAGAAGGUCAUUAAUUGCAUUGCUGAGCUGGGAAGAGGCAGGCUGAGGCUGAAUCCUGUGACCUGGUUUGGGAAGGGCUGGGUUCCUCCCUCUGAAUGUCCUCCCUGGACUUGGCCAUCAGUUGUGCAGCAGUAAGGACUACUCAGCGUUUCUUUUGAAGCUGUUCAGCUUGUAUAAAUUCAACUGCCACGAUGUCUCCAUAAACUCAUUGGUCUACAGCUUAGAAAGCAGCUGCUUUCCUUUCCCAGUGUGUGUGCUUUAACCUGUAGUCACCAUAACCACACUUACCACAGAGCACUGAAUCAUUCCUUGCACCUGUACUCUUGGAAAACACAAUCUAUAUAUAGCUAUUGUGGAAUCUACUGUUUGGAAUAAAUACCUGUCUCCCUUAUCCCACACUGUGCUUCAAAACAACCUCAUUUUGCCAUCACCAAUUAAAACCCCAUCCUUGCUCUAUCUCACAUAUGGUCAUUCAUACCCACCCUUUCAAACUAUCUACACAAUUCCAGUACACUCUUCUUAGCCCUCUAUGCAUACAAUUAACCCAGUCUUUGACUCACGAGUUAUCCAAAAUCCCCCAGUGGUAGAUUCAAUUUUAUACUGGGUGAAUGGGUGACUGGUGCUAUGCAUAAACUUUGUGAUAAAUGACUUCAUCCCUUUAUUAGUGAUAAUUAGAAUGGUAAUUAUUAGACUGUGACAGAUGGUGCAGAUAUUUUGGAAGACUUCGAUGUCAAGAAUCUAGGCAGCAGAUAAACAAUAUUUUAAAAAUAUCAGUGAUAUCUAAAUUGAAAAUUUAAAUUGUGUGGAAGUCAGAACAGGCUUCAAAACCUAGGGGGCAAAAUUUGAGCAUGUGAGGUAGAUAUAGAUAUACAAGCCUAGAAAGAUUAACAGUCUGUCUGGUAUGGUCAUGCUGCUGUCAUUAUUGGGAUUAGAGGCACCUACCUGUCUAUAUGGCUAUUUUAUUUUCCCUUGGUCAAAAAACACCUUGGGGCACAAUCUUGAGCUGACAGUGCUGUUCUCAGGAGAAACAAGCGGAUGCUUCAGUAGAUCUUUCUCUUUUACACUGGCAUAACACAAUAUAAAUCAUAGCCCUUCUUUCUUCCUAGCAUUUCGUAGUACCAUCAGUAAUGGAAUAUUAUUAUUUUCAACAACCAUUCAUGUACUGCCUGCACUGUCUGAAUGUCCCAGCUGGAACUGCAUAGGUUAAGGCCUCAAAUCAAUCCUUCCUGCUAACAGCCUGGGGAGCAGGCAAGUGAGUUUCUCGCAGAAGGAGAAUUCUGACUAUCUAAAAGUAUAAAAAGGGUACAGACCUGACAAGUUUCAUUUAUUCCAUUCCUCACAUUUCUGAUUUUGCCUGUUCUGCACGUCAGGCAAUUAUUUUAGCACUAAAUGCAACGGUGCACAUGCACAUACACUCAUACCUUGUACAAGAAGUUUCUUCAUAAAUAUCUCAGCCACGUGAGCCCAUCAAUAGUUCUCUGCGAGAGGGGUGAAGGUGUGUAUCCACUAGCAUUUCUUGGCAAUGAGUCCUUAUAGCUUCAUCCCUGUGAGAAUAGAAUGUGCCUUUUCAGUAGAUUAAAAAAGAAACCUCCAUCUUUGCUGCAGAGUAUCACUUGACACGCUUGUUGAUUUACUCAACUUAUUUUUCAUUCCAUAAUUCUUCCAGGCUGUGUUCAAAUGAUCUCACCCUACAUUUGUUUGAUGAAGGUUACCAAUCUGGAAAAUCCAUCUACUUCCACCUUCAUUAUUAUGACUGAUAUCUCUGCUGCUCUGUUUACUUGCCUUUAAUUUACUCCAAGGCUAACACUUGUUUUUGGCUGCAUCCACAAGGGAUCCAGUGAUAACUUUCCCCCGUCCCCACCUAGGCAGUGAGAACCUCUGCAAGACAACAAAUCCUUGGCUUUGCAAUAGUGUAAUGUUCUCAUCAGUGUAACAUUCUCAUCAGUGGCAUCAAGAACUGUAGAAAUACUGAGUGGUGUGGUCAGGACAACCCUAACUGACUCUCAGCGGUCACUGAUUUCAGCCACAGCCUGAGAAGUUGAGCAGGAGAACCAUUUCAUAUUGGUGCAACGUUAUGAAUAUGAGCAACUGCUCAGCUUUAGUGCUCAUUACCCCAGCAACAGUUCUGGAUUAAUUUCUAGUCCCAUGGGCCAGCAGGCAACGUGGGCAGAGCAGAAUCAUCCCUUAGUAUUUUAAAAGCCAUCUAUUUAAAAAGUGUUUUAUGUCGAAUUAAAGCUCAUCCAAACUAUUCAACCUGGCCAUAUUUCUUCACCAUUAGCGUUGUAUGCGUCAUCUGUUGUUUCAUCACCUGUUAAUCUGCCUGGGCUCUAGCUGUAGAUUUGAUUUAUAAAGAUGCCUAUAUCUUACUCGUUUGCUACAUGCGACCAAUACAACCCCAAUCACUGUCUGCCUUCUCAUGGAACACCCACCUAUUAGUUUAAAUUCUGAGAGACGGGAAAUAAGAAAAAUAAAUAAUUCCCACAACUGUCAUUCACACGUUUCUACCCUUUUAUCAUGACACAACAGGACAUUGUUCAAGUACAUAUUUUGAUUUACAAUUCUUCACCGCCCCCAUUCAUCGCUAUCAAAAAUGAAUUUUUAACCAUGUGUAUAUAAACCUGAUGAUUUGUAUUCAUAAUCAGCUAAGGUUAUAAGGAAUCUCCUGCUGUGGUUAGCUAAGGUAAAGCACACUAAAGCAAAAUUGCUUUACUCACAACCUGUAAUAAUUUCAGAAUGUUAUUUCUAUUUCUUGCAAUGUUCUUGGUAACAUUAGUCAGAUAAAUGAUGCCUUUUGAUCAACAGGAAUGCUCCUUUCUCCAAACAUCAGCUUUGCACUGUAAACACCAAUUCCAAUAGGGUUUGGUGGUUUUUUUUGUUGUUGUUGCUUGGUUUUUUUAUUUUUAUUUUUUUACUUUCUUAUCUUUGUGCUUGGAUAUAUAUUUGCUCUUCAGUUCUCUUGCUAUGUUCCAAUAUGCUAGCAAUAUCUUUCCCUUUGCUGCCUCAUUUAACCUAUGUAAUAAAGAUGCCUGUCAUGUCAUAAAGUAAGCAUUUUCCCUAGAAAUUUCUAUAAAAGUUCAUGUCAAACUGGAUAUUUCUAUUGAUUUUUGAAUAGAUAUUAGCAGGUUUUCUUCUGCCUUAUUUUUAAGAAUUGACUCUUAGACCUUCAAAUUUCUUGAAAGAAAUAUUGCUGUAAGUUGCAAUGACCCAAUGUAAUCCUGACCUGCUCUUUUUCUUCUUUUAUCCCUCAGUGCUCCAGUAUCCUAGCAGUUUUUCCUAUGCUUCUUACAAUUAGUCC
RNAcentral lists this long non-coding RNA (7670 nucleotides) under Gallus gallus (chicken). Its description in RNAcentral is "lncRNA (ENSGALG00010022563.1)". The record is from RNAcentral. Lineage: Eukaryota; Metazoa; Chordata; Aves; Galliformes; Phasianidae.